This 301-nucleotide ribosomal RNA is filed under the name uncultured bacterium. RNAcentral describes it as "partial 16S ribosomal RNA". It matches the Rfam family "Bacterial small subunit ribosomal RNA", at positions 509 to 807 of the family's 1533-position model. The record is from RNAcentral.
CAGUAGCCACGGUAAUGCGUAGGUGGCAAGCGUUGUCCGGAAUUAUUGGGCGUAAAGGGUGCGUAGGCGGCCCCGCAAGUCUCAUGUGAAAUCUUCAGGCUCAACUUGAAGUCUGCAUGGGAAACUGCGGGGCUGGAGUAUGGGAGAGGUGAGUGGAAUUCCUGGUGUAGCGGUGAAAUGCGUAGAUAUCAGGAGGAACACCUGUGGCGAAAGCGGCUCACUGGACCAUAACUGACGCUGAGGCACGAAAGCUAGGGGAGCAAACAGGAUUAGAUACCCCCGUAGUCCCUGUCUCUUAUAC